AACAGAAGAUGGUAUAGGCAUUAACCCAGGAAAUCCAGUAGGCGGAACAGCACCAGCAUGAAAUUGCUGUGGUGCGACAGAUGGUAUAAGAGGAAUUUGUUUGCCUUGAUCAGCUAGAUUUGCUAAACUUUGCUGGUCAGGCUUCCACUGAAAAGUACUCUGAUUUGCUGCCUGGUGCAUUAAUCCUGCAGCAGCAGAAGUAUCUGGCAUGAUUAAUUCCUUUGGAGGAACAGAAAAAUUUGCAGGGAUUCCACCUAUCAUCUCAUUUUCAAGUGCACGAAUAGUAUCCUGAUCAUAAACCUCCUUCGUACCCCAAAACUGUAGAAUUUUUUGAAGCCGAGAUUGAUUUUCUUCCUUGUUUUGAGGGUUGUGGUAUAUCCUCGCAAGCAUGGGACCCAAAAUAGGCUUAAAAGCAAGUGCCUCAUUGUCAAGCUCCGGAGGAUUAAUUCGUCGCUGCAAGCUAUCAAAUAAGAUGUCAUUGGCAAGAUAGACUAUAUGCAGUUGCCUCUCCGAAUCAUCUACGGAAAACACCCUGUCUCUGAGCGCCUCAGCCAAAGCAGGUACAAAUGGAGAUCUCUGCAUAAACCAACUCUUGGCACCUUUAAUUGACUCUUUCGUACCAGUAAGAUUAUUUAUGACAUUACUAAGCUCCAUCUCUACAUCUGAUGGAAGAGGCCUAGAUAGACCUUUGAAGGGCCCAUAUGAAUGUUCAUAAUCUGCUCGGCUAAAAGGCUGAGAAUGAUGCUGAUCAUAAAAUGGUGGGAAAGGGGGUCGAUGCAAA
Molecule: unclassified non-coding RNA, 781 nt
Filed under: Hevea brasiliensis (rubber tree)
Lineage: Eukaryota; Viridiplantae; Streptophyta; Magnoliopsida; Malpighiales; Euphorbiaceae
Source: RNAcentral